AUGGUCUCCCUGGAGGAGGUGGAUGGGGGCCAGGUGAGGGUAGAGCUACUGGAGGAGGUGGAUGGGGCCCAGGUGAGGGCAGAGCUACUGGAGGAGGUGGAUGGGGCCCAGGUGAGGGCAGAGCUACUGAUGGUCUCCCUGGAGGAGCUGGGCCAGGUGAGGGCAGAGCUACAGAUGGUCUCCCUGGAGGAGGUGGAUGGGGCCCAGGUGAGGGCAGAGCUACUGGAGGAGGUGGAUGGGGGCCAGGUGAGGGCAGAGCUACUGGAGGAGGUGGAUGGGGGCCAGGUGAGGGCAGAGCUACUGGAGGAGGUGGAUGGGGGCCAGGUGAGGGCAGAGCUACUGGAGGAGGUGGAUGGGGCCCAAGUGAGGGCAGAGCUACUGGAGCAGGUGGAUGGGGCACAGGUAAGGGUAGACCUACAGAUGGUCUCCAUGGAGGAGGUGGAUGGGGCCCAGGUGAGGGGCAGCGCUACAGAUGGUCUCCAUGGAGGAGGUGGAUGGGGCCCAGGUGAGGGCAGAGCUACUGGAGCAGGUGGAUGGGGCCCAGGUGAGGGUAGACCUACAGAUGGUCUCCAUGGAGGAGGUGGAUGGGGCCCAGGUGAGGGUAGACCUACAGAUGGUCUCCAUGGAGGAGGUGGAUGGGGCCCAGGUGAGGGUAGACCUACAGAUGGUCUCCAUGGAGGAGGUGGAUGGGGCCCAGGUGAGGGUAGACCUACAGAUGGUCUCCAUGGAGGAGGUGGAUGGGGCCCAGGUGAGGGUAGACCUACAGAUGGUCUCCAUGGAAGAGGUGGAUGGGGCCCAGGUGAGGGUAGACCUACAGAUGGUCUCCAUGGAGGAGGUGGAUGGGGCCCAGGUGAGGGUAGACCUACAGAUGGUCUCCAUGAAGGAGGUGGAUGGGGCCCAGGUGAGGGUAGACCUACAGAUGGUCUCCAUGGAGGAGGUGGAUGGGGCCCAGGUGAGGGCAGAGCUACUGGAGCAAGUGGAUGGGGCCCAGGUGAGGCGCAGAGCUACAUAAAGGCGUGGGACAUGUUGAGGGACAGAGACACUAAACUGGAGGAGCAGCAACAUGAGCUACAGUCAGCCAGGGGACAGGUGGGGUAG
Molecule: long non-coding RNA, 1098 nt
Filed under: Oncorhynchus mykiss (rainbow trout)
Lineage: Eukaryota; Metazoa; Chordata; Actinopteri; Salmoniformes; Salmonidae
Description: lncRNA (ENSOMYG00000074402.1)
Source: RNAcentral